Cavia porcellus (domestic guinea pig) is the source of this 3021-nucleotide long non-coding RNA. RefSeq lists it as uncharacterized. The transcript has 4 exons. NCBI's taxonomy places the organism in Eukaryota, Metazoa, Chordata, Mammalia, Rodentia, Caviidae. The record is from RefSeq and is a predicted model, not a curated record.
GGCCCGAGGGGCGGGGGCGAUGAAGGCGAGUCACAAGGGCUGAGGCGGGUCACGUGGCGCCCGGAGGGCUACCGGUGGGCUUUGGGUUGGAAGGUCAGUCUGAAGUAGGAUUUCUGAGAACGCUUUGUCCAUAGUUUCGGCUCCGAGAGGGUGAAGAAAGGAAAACGCUGAAUGGAAGGAGUGAGUGCUGGGUAGGAAAAUGUGAAUGAGUCUCUCUAGCUGUCUCCAGCAUGGAGCUACCCUGUCACUAAAUCCCAAGAUCCACGGAAACGGGCAGAUAGUCUCGCAAAUUCACUGGCCGCUUUUUACUGUUAAACAUAGUCACGUUUCAACGCGUGAAAACGCUGAAUGCGUUCUAGUGUCCCUUACUGGGCCGUGGAAAGGGCUGCUCCCCAAGGAUACUAGUGAUAUAUAUAAGACUAAGUUCAAAGGUCACUUUGUAGGCCUGAAUCUUGCAUGUUCUCUUGGAGUGGUUUCUGUGACCUACAUUCUUGAAGGUUUUUCUUUUCCCCUGGCCCCACUGUUGCGGACACCAUACACCCUCAGAUGGUCUUUGUCUUCAGUUAAUUUUUCUGAGUCUGGUCUUUGUCGAUUACUUGAAAGAGCCGCAGGAUCUGAUCCUCAGACUUCUCCUUCUGAGCCUCAUAAUCCUCUGAUGCACACUAGAUGAUCUAACCGUUCUGACGUCUGGACAGCUUGGUCUGAAUCUGCAUAUAUAAGUGCCUUUUAGACAGUUUGGCUUGCCUACCAACAAAAUGUAACCAAGUUGAAAUUCCUGUACACUCUGGAGUCCAGGAGGUUUGUGGCUGAAUGUUUCUGCCUUGUCAAUGAAGAACAGGAUUUGAGGCUAACAGAAGACUCAGAUUUGAAGAGAGCCAUAUUUUCUCAAACUAGAAAGAACUAAAAUUCCAGAGAUAACAAGAAUGUAUUGGCAGCACCCUUUGCUAUAUUAUAUGCCUCCAGGAGGCUGGGAUCUUUGCUAAAGUCCUUCUAUUCUAGAAAACAGCAAAGGGAUGAAUCCCCAAAGAACCUACGUUUGGGACUCAUCUAUGUGGUCUAGUGACAAGAAGAGCUACCAGUUGUUCUAGUCCUUCGGAAGUCACCUGAUCCCUGCAGAACCCUCUCAAUAUCAGUGUUCAAUUUCCAACAGUCCAGUGGGAUUGGGGUUCCAAGAUUAAUCGGAAUUAUACUUUAAAGAUCUUAAGGUGCUAUCAUGGUCACAUAAACAAGAGUCACUAGGAAAGGCCCAAAAGCCCAGGUUUCAGUAAGAUGGAGCAAGAACACAGUCACUUGAGAAGCCUAAGGUCACAGAGCUUUGCAGCAGACCUGGGUCCAGUGUCUUUAUAUUUCUCAGCAUGGCGCCAAGUGGCAUAGUGUCCUAUAAAUUUAGUUGAAUUGCACAGAGCUGCCUGGCUCGGAUCCGGAGGAGGCUUGGGAUGGGAACAAAGAGGAUGAGCAGUGAGAUGCGGCGAGCCAAAGAAAACUUGACCCAAACUGUAACACUGCCUCUGGUGGUCAUCCCCAGAUCAAGAGCAAGACAUGGUUUCCUGAACAAAUGCUUCAACUAGUGUCUGACUCAUUCUGCAACUCAGUCCUUUUCUGGUGUGUGAGAUGGGGAGCUGGGGAGCAGGGUCACGGGCUGAGAGAAACCAGCUUUGACUUCUCCGGUCACCCAGUUUCCCUGGCUUCUCCUUUUGUCCAGUCUGUGCUCUGAGGUCAGAAUCUAGUCCAUAGUUAUUUAAAAGUUUUGUCUUGGCCCUGGAAUGCUGGCAUGCUCUAGUGGAAUUAGAUUUGCUAAAUGCAAUUUUCUAGGGCUGUUGAGGCUUCACUAAGAGGUUGGGUAGGUUCCCAGGAGACAGUCAGUAGACAUGCAUUCAUGUAUGUGUGUGUGUGUGGGUGUGUGUGUGUUCAUGUGUGUACAUGGUGUGAUCUUUUUCACCGAGACUAAGCAAGCACAGAUUGUACAGAGAGUAAGGAAAAGAGCUUACAGGCAAAUUUUGGCCCUUGGAGCUUCACGGUGUAUACAUGCUGCUGCAGACUUUACUGUCUACCAUAAAUAUUGUCUUAGUUCUUCCACAGAGAUCAGGAUCUCCCAGGGUGCAAGGGAAACUAUGCAAGUUCAGCCUACACGUCUGGCUGGACUUGCCCAGGGACAGCACAUGGUGAGACCUACUGUUCUCCAUCUUCCUGCCUAUCCACAGACCCUGAUUUAGAAAAGCUACUGCCCAACAGGAAAAAAGGGGCAAUGCUGGACGUAUUCCUGAUUAGUGCUCCCUGUGUCAUCUAUUUCCUGGUAGUAUGAUUCAGGUCCUUGAGAGAUUUGGACUGGACAGAAGUCAUUUGUUUCAUAACAGGGACAAUUAAAACAUGUCUCAGAAGUUCCUAGGACCCUCUAAAGCAGCUUCUCAAUUCUAAAGAAGUUCAAACUAUAUCCCAGAGAGUUCUGUGACUUCCCAAAAUCACACAGCCCAAUUGGCGGUCUGGCUUAUGAAGCAUUUUUUUGAAGGACUAAAACGUCCUAAAGUUCACAUGAAUUUUUACACUAAAUAAAGAGCGAAUUAACAACUAGCUCCCUGCCAACUAGCUUUGAAGCUUUGUUCAAAUUAUUUAAUCCCCUUUUCCUUCUCCAUGAAAUGCUGUAAAUGAUCAUUGUGUAUCAGGAGUAUGCUAAAGGUAUGAGGCAUUUACCUUGAGAGGUCUCUCAGACAUAGUAUACAAAGGGUGAUCUAAAUACACAGUGAAUGUUUACACUGUAAAGAUUUAUCUCUUCCAAAGAGCUUAAAACAUCACCCUACAAUGAUACAUGCAUACCAAUGUCUGUAGCAGCACAAUCCAUAAUAGCUAAACCCUAGAGGCAGCCUGUAUAACCCUCAACAGACGAUUGGAUAAAGGAAAUGUGGUAUCUGUAUAUAGGGUAAUACUACUUGGCUAUAAAAAGGACAAAUUUGAGACAUUUUAGCAAAAUGUAUGCACCUGGCAAAUGUUAUAUUGAAUGAAAUAAAUCAGACACACAAGCUUGAA